AAUAAAUAAAUAUUUUGAAAAAUUGUAAAUAAGGAUAAAAAUAAGAUACUCAAAAAUAUUUUUUUGAACCGCGUACAUAGUUGCAGUUGUUUGGAAGUUGUGUCGUUAAACAGACGGUAUUUCGGAACUAAAUUUUUUUUUGUGAUUUUUUCAAUUAAAAAAUGCUGACUGUGAUGAUGUGGAUGACUGUGAAAAAAAGACAUAUGUGAAGAUCUAUUUGAUAUGUUCGAUAAAGUGACAGAAAUGCCUAUAAAGAAAAAGAAAAGGCAAUGGGUAAAGGUAUGGAGAGAAAAAAGAUCAGUAAACGGUUCGCAUUCAUUUUUAAUAAAGGAACUACUCUCGUUCGAUAAAAAUGAGUAUAAAAAUUACAAUAUAUAAGAAUGUCAGAAAAUCAAUUUAGUUUUAUACUCUCGCAGUAAAUUAAGAUUUAUUAAAACAGGAUACUAGGAUGCGUGCAGUAAUUUCUUCAGCGGAAAAACUAUCGCUGACUCCACGUUUUCUAGACACAGUUUCCAAGCAGUUCUUCCGAGUGGGUUUCUAUAGCCAGUGAAUUUGCGAUAAGAUGGCAAUUUCCAAAUUGUCUAGGCACAUAACCUUUAGGCCGUCGCGAAAAGAUGGAUCGUUUUAUUACAACUAUAAAGGCACAAAUAGCAUAAUUUUUAUUUUUGUGGAUAUAGGUUGUAACGGCCGAUGUAACGAUGCAGGAGUGUUCUUGUAAAGUAAACUUUCGGAGGUGCGAGAAGAGAGGGGUUUACCAACAAAUUCUACAAUAGGAAAUACUAGAUGUCUCCCAUAUAUGAUGCUUAGCGAUUUUAAUUCGCGUCUUUCUCGCGCCAGACAUGUUGUUGGGCAUUCCUUCGGGAUUCUGGCAAACAGAUUCCGAAUCUUAAUUGCUCCAAUAAAUUUAAAAGUAGAGUCUGCUUGCUGUGUUUUGCACAACUUUUUUGGAACAAGCAAUAACAGUGGGUUGAACUCAUUGCUUUUGCAACCUAUGGAUCUCCGGAUGUUACUGGUAGUAACAACAAUCCGCGGAGAGGAGGAGCAGAAGAUUUUCGACAAGAAUUAAUGGCAUACUCUAACACCGAAGGAAAAGUUGAUUGGGAGCUAUAAUUGUUGUUUAGCAGUAUUCAAUGUAAUAUAAUUGAAUUUUAAUAAAUAUGGAGAUAUUUUUACUCUUUUAUAUUUACAUAAAAAUA
Molecule: long non-coding RNA, 1196 nt
Organism: Bactrocera oleae (olive fruit fly)
Lineage: Eukaryota; Metazoa; Arthropoda; Insecta; Diptera; Tephritidae
Source: RefSeq, a predicted model, not a curated record